This is a long non-coding RNA of Malurus melanocephalus (red-backed fairy wren), 1936 nucleotides long. RefSeq lists it as uncharacterized. The record is from RefSeq and is a predicted model, not a curated record. NCBI's taxonomy places the organism in Eukaryota, Metazoa, Chordata, Aves, Passeriformes, Maluridae. The transcript is spliced from 3 exons.
CUGAUUACAUCUGGAAGGACCACGCCAGCCAUCCCGGUGUCUCCAGCUGUGACCUCCAGCCCCAGGAUGAAAUCCCCGAUGCUGCAGCCAGCUGGAAAGGUAACACCACCGUUCACAUCUGUGUCUACACGGUUCACCUCAGCGGCUGCCAGGAGCUCUACAGGCGCUUCCUCAGGCUCCCUGAUGGGGCUAUCGUCGAGGCAUUUGGUGAUAUUAGUGAGGAAAGUCCUUUGUGUAAUGAAGYGAGCACAGAUCAGGACCAUGGAAGRGAAAAGAACAGUGUUCUGUGUACAUCUACACGUAUCAAGCUGAGGGAGAGGAAAAAGCAUACAGCAAGGUGCAAAGGAAAUCCUGUUGCUUCAGACAAGAGCUAGUUCCUGCAGUAAUGUGUGGUCCAUGGAGUUGUUUACAUCAUGAUUCACGGUAUGGCCACUGUCUGAUAGGAUUUAUGUUUCUGACAGCCACACCUCUGCACGUACUGUGUUGUCCUGCAAGUGUUCUCUUAGUACAUCUGUGUUCUUCAACAAUCUACACAAUGUGGUGAACUCAAAUCACGGACUGGAUCAUGCAAACAUAAUUAUUUCAUAUGACUCUUUUUUCUUCCCCAGUUGUGGGACAUUUCUAGAUUUCUCAGGUUUGCUUGUUUCUGCUUUUUCAGCUCUGCUCACACCUGCUAGUUAUGGUGGGGAAUAUAAUGCUGAUUUGUCUUUCAACUUUCAUGUCUAAAACAUCGACAGUGUUUUCAGUAACUGUUCAAAGCUCAAGUCUGUUGUAAUUGCAAGACUGCAAGAAUGCCCAGAAGAACAAUGAUGGCUUCAUCCACCAGUUCUGUAGCCAAGUUCCAACAUGCUGGAAAAUUUACAAGAUCCCAGAGACAUUUUUUUCUGAGGUUUUCGUGGUGGCCAUACCUGUUUCCCUGUGAACUACAGCAGCUUAACACAACCUGAAAGUUAUGCUCAUGCUUUCUUAAUAGCAUUAAAGUUAAAACCAAUCAGUUCUCUUUUGUUAGAACCAGUCAGUACCUAUUCUAUUUGGCUCCUUACAAAUUUAUCAGAAAUUGUCCAUGUCCCAAAGGCAAGAACUAUGAGAGACAACGGAAGAAGGUGGGAAGGGGAACACAGGCGAGAAAGAUGAAAUCAUUUGUGGAAGGCCACCAAAGUCAGAGGCAAAUGGAGAAAUACAGGGGAGACUGCCAGCAUCUUGAUUCAGUCUUCCCUCUGGUAGGAUCCUUUUAUCCUGAAAAUGCAGCUGGGAGGGGGAAGAUUACCUUACUGAUAUUUUGAAUCAUUUAUGCAGAAAUCUGUAAUCAUUUAACAUAGUAACCAGUGACAUUUUUCUAGCAUGUUGUGAUUUUCUGGUGUCCUUUUUUUCACACAGGUAUGGUAAAACUUUUUCAGAUGCAUUUAYCUUUGCAAGAUCUUACCCAAUAUCUUGAGAAUUGUUGAUUAUAGAAUUCUUAAAUCCAUAGUUCUCAUCCACCUGAAAAAAAGUUAAAUGACAUUAGAUAGUAACCUAAAGGUUUAGAUGCCACUCCUGAGCACAGUUUUUCUUUGGAUAUGCAAGAUAGUGAUUUGGUUUCCACUUACUUUUUUGUUGGUUUCCCCCCACCCUGUUCAUUUGUGUGCAUGUGCACUGCAUGCGUUUUCCCCCCAGUUUAUUUGCAAUGUGUGUGCUUAUUUUAUGUCGUACACCCAGACAGAAAUGGUGUGAAAAACCUUCUGAAUAUCUACAAGAAUUGAUGUGAUUUUUGUGGCUUUUAUUGUGUAAGAUAUUACUUGGAUGACUUCUUUCUGUCAUAACAGGAAUAAAAUUGYCUUUUAAUGUUUGCUUUGCCUGUUGACAUUUUAAACUUUUCUACAUAACUUUGAUAAAGAAACUAACUGAAGAGAAACCAGCCAAUAACCUAUUGCAGUUUCUGGCUGACUGUACCAAGAGG